CCGUAACUAUAACGGUCCUAAGGUAGCGAAAUUCCUUGUCGGGUAAGUUCCGACCCGCACGAAAGGCGUAACGAUUUGGGCACUGUCUCAACGAGAGACUCGGUGAAAUCAUAGUACCUGUGAAGAUGCAGGUUACCCGCGACAGGACGGAAAGACCCCGUGGAGCUUUACUGUAGCCUGAUAUUGAAAUUCGGCACAGCUUGUACAGGAUAGGUAGGAGCCUUUGAAACGUGAGCGCUAGCUUACGUGGAGGCGUUGGUGGGAUACUACCCUAGCUGUGUUGGCUUUCUAACCCGCACCACUUAUCGUGGUGGGAGACAGUGUCAGGCGGGCAGUUUGACUGGGGCGGUCGCCUCCUAAAAGGUAACGGAGGCGCUCAAAGGUUCCCUCAGAAUGGUUGGAAAUCAUUCAUAGAGUGUAAAGGCAUAAGGGAGCUUGACUGCGAGACCUACAAGUCGAGCAGGGUCGAAAGACGGACUUAGUGAUCCGGUGGUUCCGCAUGGAAGGGCCAUCGCUCAACGGAUAAAAGCUACCCCGGGGAUAACAGGCUUAUCUCCCCCAAGAGUUCACAUCGACGGGGAGGUUUGGCACCUCGAUGUCGGCUCAUCGCAUCCUGGGGCUGUAGUCGGUCCCAAGGGUUGGGCUGUUCGCCCAUUAAAGCGGUACGCGAGCUGGGUUCAGAACGUCGUGAGACAGUUCGGUCCCUAUCCGUCGUGGGCGUAGGAAAUUUGAGAGGAGCUGUCCUUAGUACGAGAGGACCGGGAUGGACAUACCUCUGGUGUACCAGUUGUCGUGCCAACGGCAUAGCUGGGUAGCUAUGUAUGGACGGGAUAAGUGCUGAAAGCAUCUAAGCAUGAAGCCCCCCUCAAGAUGAGAUUUCCCAACUUCGGUUAUAAGAUCCCUCGAAGAUGACGAGGUUAAUAGGUUCGAGGUGGAAGCGUGGUGACACGUGGAGCUGACGAAUACUAAUCGAUCGAAGACUUAAUCAAUUUUUAAA
Molecule: ribosomal RNA, 997 nt
Filed under: Ralstonia insidiosa
Lineage: Bacteria; Pseudomonadati; Pseudomonadota; Betaproteobacteria; Burkholderiales; Burkholderiaceae
Description: partial 23S ribosomal RNA
Rfam family: Bacterial large subunit ribosomal RNA
Source: RNAcentral